UAGGGAAUCUUCGGCAAUGGACGAAAGUCUGACCGAGCAACGCCGCGUGAGUGAAGAAGGUUUUCGGAUCGUAAAACUCUGUUGUUAGAGAAGAACAAGGACGUUAGUAACUGAACGUCCCCUGACGGUAUCUAACCAGAAAGCCACGGCUAACUACGUGCCAGCAGCCGCGGUAAUACGUAGGUGGCAAGCGUUGUCCGGAUUUAUUGGGCGUAAAGCGAGCGCAGGCGGUUUCUUAAGUCUGAUGUGAAAGCCCCCGGCUCAACCGGGGAGGGUCGUUGGAAACUUGGAGACUUGAGUGCAGAGGAGGAGAGUGGAAUUCCAUGUGUAGCGGUGAAAUGCGUAGAUAUAUGGAGGAACACCAGUGGCGAAGGCGGCUCUCUGGUCUGUAACUGACGCUGAGGCUCGAAAGCGUGGGGAGCAAACAGG
This 429-nucleotide ribosomal RNA is filed under the name Gemmatimonadota bacterium. Its description in RNAcentral is "Gemmatimonadetes bacterium partial 16S ribosomal RNA". It matches the Rfam family "Bacterial small subunit ribosomal RNA", at positions 355 to 776 of the family's 1533-position model. The record is from RNAcentral. Lineage: Bacteria; Pseudomonadati; Gemmatimonadota.